Molecule: unclassified non-coding RNA, 147 nt
Organism: Papio anubis (olive baboon)
Lineage: Eukaryota; Metazoa; Chordata; Mammalia; Primates; Cercopithecidae
Rfam family: Metazoan signal recognition particle RNA
About the family: The signal recognition particle (SRP) is a universally conserved ribonucleoprotein. It is involved in the co-translational targeting of proteins to membranes.
Source: Ensembl
GCCAGGCGUGGUGGUGGGCGCCUUUAAUCCCAGCUACUUGGAGGCUGAGGCGGGAGAAUCGCUUGAACUUGGGAGGUUGAGGCUGCAGUGAGCCAAGAUGGCACCGCUGCACUCCAGCCUGGGUGACAGAGUGACACCCUGUCUCAA